This 372-nucleotide ribosomal RNA is filed under the name uncultured prokaryote. RNAcentral describes it as "bacterial SSU rRNA". It matches the Rfam family "Bacterial small subunit ribosomal RNA", at positions 526 to 896 of the family's 1533-position model. The record is from RNAcentral.
CAGAGGUGGCAAGCGUUGUUCGGAUUUACUGGGCGUAAAGGGUGCGUAGGUAGUUUUGCGUGUCAGAUGUGAAAGCUCAUCGCUCAACGAUGAAAGUGCAUUUGAAACUGCAGGACUGGAGUACGGGGGAGGAGAGUGGAAUUCUUGGUGUAGCGGUGAAAUGCGUAGAUAUCAAGAAGAACACCGGUGGCGAAGGCGACUCUCUAUCCCGAUACUGACGCUGAGGCACGAAAGCUGGGGGAGCAAACAGGAUUAGAUACCCUGGUAGUCCCAGCCUUAAACGGUGUACACUUGGUGUGGGAGGAUUUGACCCCUUCUGUGCCGGAGCUAACGCGUUAAGUGUACCGCCUGGGGAGUACGGCCGCAAGGUUA